RNAcentral lists this transfer RNA (75 nucleotides) under marine sediment metagenome. Its description in RNAcentral is "tRNA-Asn". It matches the Rfam family "tRNA". Rfam says of the family: Transfer RNA (tRNA) molecules are approximately 80 nucleotides in length. Their secondary structure includes four short double-helical elements and three loops (D, anti-codon, and T loops). The record is from RNAcentral.
UCCUCUGUGGUGAAAUCGGUAUCACGGCUGACUGUUAAUCAGCUAUUCCUGGUUCGAGUCCAGGCGGGGGAGCCA